CACACUAUCAUUAACUGAAUCCAUAGGUUAAUGAGGCGAACCGGGGGAACUGAAACAUCUAAGUACCCCGAGGAAAAGAAAUCAACCGAGAUUCCCCCAGUAGCGGCGAGCGAACGGGGAGCAGCCCAGAGCCUGAAUCAGUAUGUGUGUUAGUGGAAGCGUCUGGAAAGGCGCGCGAUACAGGGUGACAGCCCCGUACACAAAAAUGCACAUGCUGUGAGCUCGAUGAGUAGGGCGGGACACGUGGUAUCCUGUCUGAAUAUGGGGGGACCAUCCUCCAAGGCUAAAUACUCCUGACUGACCGAUAGUGAACCAGUACCGUGAGGGAAAGGCGAAAAGAACCCCGGCGAGGGGAGUGAAAAAGAACCUGAAACCGUGUACGUACAAGCAGUGGGAGCACAGAGCAAUCUGUGUGACUGCGUACCUUUUGUAUAAUGGGUCAGCGACUUAUAUUCUGUAGCAAGGUUAACCGAAUAGGGGAGCCGAAGGGAAACCGAGUCUUAACUGGGCGUUAAGUUGCAGGGUAUAGACCCGAAACCCGGUGAUCUAGCCAUGGGCAGGUUGAAGGUUGGGUAACACUAACUGGAGGACCGAACCGACUAAUGUUGAAAAAUUAGCGGAUGACUUGUGGCUGGGGGUGAAAGGCCAAUCAAACCGGGAGAUAGCUGGUUCUCCCCGAAAGCUAUUUAGGUAGCGCCUCGUGAAUUCAUCUC
This 713-nucleotide ribosomal RNA is filed under the name Escherichia coli. RNAcentral describes it as "partial 23S ribosomal RNA". It matches the Rfam family "Bacterial large subunit ribosomal RNA", at positions 144 to 896 of the family's 2925-position model. The record is from RNAcentral. Lineage: Bacteria; Pseudomonadati; Pseudomonadota; Gammaproteobacteria; Enterobacterales; Enterobacteriaceae.